This 632-nucleotide ribosomal RNA is filed under the name Enterobacter hormaechei. RNAcentral describes it as "partial 23S ribosomal RNA". It matches the Rfam family "Bacterial large subunit ribosomal RNA", at positions 2190 to 2821 of the family's 2925-position model. RNAcentral also lists the same sequence under 1 other name. The record is from RNAcentral. Lineage: Bacteria; Pseudomonadati; Pseudomonadota; Gammaproteobacteria; Enterobacterales; Enterobacteriaceae.
CCUUGAAAUACCACCCUUUAAUGGCUGGUGUUCUAACGUAGACCCGUUAUCCGGGUUGCGGACAGUGUCUGGUGGGUAGUUUGACUGGGGCGGUCUCCUCCCAAAGAGUAACGGAGGAGCACGAAGGUUGGCUAAUCCUGGUCGGACAUCAGGAGGUUAGUGCAAUGGCAUAAGCCAGCUUGACUGCGAGCGUGACGGCGCGAGCAGGUGCGAAAGCAGGUCAUAGUGAUCCGGUGGUUCUGAAUGGAAGGGCCAUCGCUCAACGGAUAAAAGGUACUCCGGGGAUAACAGGCUGAUACCGCCCAAGAGUUCAUAUCGACGGCGGUGUUUGGCACCUCGAUGUCGGCUCAUCACAUCCUGGGGCUGAAGUAGGUCCCAAGGGUAUGGCUGUUCGCCAUUUAAAGUGGUACGCGAGCUGGGUUUAGAACGUCGUGAGACAGUUCGGUCCCUAUCUGCCGUGGGCGCUGGAGAAUUGAGGGGGGCUGCUCCUAGUACGAGAGGACCGGAGUGGACGCAUCACUGGUGUUCGGGUUGUCAUGCCAAUGGCACUGCCCGGUAGCUAAAUGCGGAAGAGAUAAGUGCUGAAAGCAUCUAAGCACGAAACUUGCCCCGAGAUGAGUUCUCCCUGAGAC